RNAcentral lists this long non-coding RNA (1258 nucleotides) under Sus scrofa (pig). Its description in RNAcentral is "lncRNA (ENSSSCG00015032530.1)". Lineage: Eukaryota; Metazoa; Chordata; Mammalia; Artiodactyla; Suidae. The record is from RNAcentral.
GCCCCACCCCGGCGCGACCGGAGGAGGCUGCGCGGUCGCUGAGGGCUGCGACUCCUGCCACCCUCACCUGGGACCACAACUUUCUUCCCCUUCGUCUGGGGACCGCGACCCCUACCCCUUCGCCCUGGACUUCCACCCCCACUCCGUCUUUGCCCGGGACCCCGGCCCCGCCCCCCUCGCCCCGGGUCCCCGCCCUAUCUGGCGGUCCGCUUGGUGGGGUCGGGAGAGCCGCUCGAGCGCGCUCGCAAGAAGGGAGAAGGCGGUGUCGCCUGUCAGUGGAGCGGAUGCCCUGGGUUGCUGUCGACCAGCAACAGUCUCUGGAUUUGAAGGGAAAUGCUGAAGACUCAGGACGUCUUCCCAAACACGAGCAUGUGCCACCCAUCCCAACCCAUUCUUGGCGGGGGCGGGGGGAGAUUAGAGUAAAUUACGGUCACCUCCUGUAAGCUUGCUGCCUGACUUCCUGUAUCCCUGCUCCGGUUGGUUGUUGAUUAUAGACGUACGUACGAACUGGAAAGGCUUCUCUCUCUGGGACACUGUCCAGUCUUCUGCGUGCACCUGUGUUUCUUACCUGUUCCUUUCGAGGUAUCCAAAUGCCGACAGGACUGCGCUUCGGACUUAGACGUCUUGACUGGGAAGAUCAUAUAUUGCCAUCUGUGUUCGGCGCCUUCUGCUUUGGCCUACGUUGUCACAUACUCGCUCUGAGAAACUUGCAUGUUCAAAAUGCUAUUCACAGCAAUGUCUUUGAAGAUAAUCACGUAAGACUGAGGUUUCCUCUGAUGUUGAAAGCACAUACACGUUUCAGGGGGAAAGUCAUAUUGUAGAGUUCGCUUUCCCAGAAAACCUCUUGGGUGUAGUGUGACCCUUCUCAGCUGCCUCCAGUUUGAACCUCUCGGCCUGAGGUGUCUACCCUUGGCCCAGAGAAUAGUCCAGAGGCCCAGCGAUGUGGUCCACCUUUGAAAGACCGUGAAGUCUCCAAAGCUGGCGAGCGAGGUGAACUGGGAGCUGUAAAAGAGUCGGCUCUUGGAGGUCCCAGUCGUGGCGCAUCAGGACGAAUCCGACUGGGAACCAUGAGGUUGCAGGUUCCAUCCCUGGCCUCGCUCAGUGGGUUAAGGACCCAGCGUUGCCGUCAGCCGAGGUGUCGGUCGCAGACGCGGCUCGGAUCCCCAGUUGCUGUGGCUGUGGUGUAGGCCGGCAGCUGUAGCUCCGAUUAGACCCCUGGCCUGGGAACCUCCAUGUGCCCUGGGAGCGGCCCGAAAAA